ACAGAGGUCCCAAGCGUUGUUCGGAUUCACUGGGCGUAAAGGGUGCGUAGGCGGUCAGGUAAGUCUGAUGUGAAAGCUUCGAGCUCAACUCGGAAAUGGCAUCGGAAACUGCUUGGCUAGAGGAAUGGAAGGGGGAUUGGAAUUCUCGGUGUAGCAGUGAAAUGCGUAGAUAUCGAGAGGAACACCCGUGGCGAAGGCAAAUCCCUGGACAUUUCCUGACGCUGAGGCACGAAAGCUAGGGGAGCAAACAG
This 251-nucleotide ribosomal RNA is filed under the name uncultured prokaryote. RNAcentral describes it as "partial 16S rRNA". It matches the Rfam family "Bacterial small subunit ribosomal RNA", at positions 525 to 775 of the family's 1533-position model. The record is from RNAcentral.